GAUGAAGAACGCAGCGAAAUGUGAUAAGUAAUGUGAAUUGCAGAAUUCAGUGAAUCAUCGAAUCUUUGAACGCACAUUGCGCCCCCUGGUAUUCCGGGGGGCAUGCCUGUUCGAGCGUCAUUUCACCACUCAAGCCUCGCUUGGUAUUGGGCAACGCGGUCCGCCGCGUGCCUCAAAUCGACCGGCUGGGUCUUCUGUCCCCUAAGCGUUGUGGAAACUAUUCGCUAAAGGGUGUUCGGGAGGCUACGCCGUAAAACAACCCCAUUUCUAAGGUUGACCUCGGAUCAGGCAGGGAUACCCGCUGAACUUAAGCAUAUCAAUAAGCGGAGGA
This 331-nucleotide unclassified non-coding RNA is filed under the name soil metagenome. Its description in RNAcentral is "partial contains 5.8S ribosomal RNA, internal transcribed spacer 2, and large subunit ribosomal RNA". The stretch from base 1 to 120 matches the Rfam family "5.8S ribosomal RNA", at positions 35 to 154 of the family's 154-position model. The record is from RNAcentral.